RNAcentral lists this ribosomal RNA (441 nucleotides) under uncultured bacterium. RNAcentral describes it as "partial 16S ribosomal RNA". It matches the Rfam family "Bacterial small subunit ribosomal RNA", at positions 338 to 795 of the family's 1533-position model. The record is from RNAcentral.
CCUACGGGUGGCUGCAGUGGGGAAUAUUGCACAAUGGGGGAAACCCUGAUGCAGCAACGCCGCGUGCAGGAAGACGGUUUUCGGAUUGUAAACUUCUGUUCUUAGUGAAGUAUAAUGACGGUAGCUAAGGACCAAGCCACGGCUAACUACGUGACAGCAGCCGCGGUAAUACGUAGGUGGCAAGCGUUGUCCCGAAUUACUGGGUGUAAAGGGAGCGCAGGCGGGAUGCCAAGUCAGCUGUGAAAGCUACGGGCUUAACUUGUAAACUGCAGUUGAAACUGGUUUUCUUGAGUGAAGUAGUGGUUGGCGGAAUUCCGGGUGUAGCGGUGAAAUGCGUAGAUAUUCGGAGGAACACCGGUGGCGAAGGCGACCAACUGGGCUUUAACUGACGCUGAGGCUCGAAAGUGUGGGGAGCAAACAGGAUUAGAUACCCGGGUAGUC